Frankliniella occidentalis (western flower thrips) is the source of this 493-nucleotide long non-coding RNA. RefSeq lists it as uncharacterized. Lineage: Eukaryota; Metazoa; Arthropoda; Insecta; Thysanoptera; Thripidae. The transcript is spliced from 2 exons. The record is from RefSeq and is a predicted model, not a curated record.
GGUUGUACAGACGGUUUUCGAGUCGGGUACAACGUAGUAAGAGAAAUGAUUUUGAGUGGUGAACUUUAAUUUGUGGUUUAGGUACCUCUGUACUUUGUAUCAACAUUCUGUGAAAACAAAGCACUCGAUAUUAUAAAUUGUGGUUUAUCUGUACUUUUAUCAACAUUCUGUGAGCAAAGCACUCGAUACAGCUGUGCUUCAAACUCGAUAUUUCACAACACUUAAUAUUCAGCUGCAACCUCGCCACUGUUGCUAUUUUUGUAGUGUUUUUAAACCUAUGGAUGUGAUUGUGGGUAUGUCUCUCCGAAUUCCACACUUAGCAAGUAAAUUGUGAGCAUUGCUAGCAGCUAUAUUCAGGAGCACCUAACCAUUGUAACAUAGUCAGCUAAUUUCAAAAAGAUUGGUGAGUGCUAGGUGAGUGUGUUUUGGCUUUGGAAUUGUCAGAUACAUUAAAUUAAAUAGAUGCAAUAGAUGCAUGACAUGUUGCAAGUUA